ACCAAAGUCAACUUUCACUUGCUCUUGCCCAUCCAACUUGGCCUGGCCUUUUUCUUCAAUACAUCACCCAAUCUUCAUGUUUGUUGUUGAUUUUUCUUGGUUUCUUCCAUUACAAAGCUAUCCAUUAUGCACUCCACUGUAAGCCUUCGUCGGAAUCUCUCUCUCAAUUUCAACAAGGAUUCGAGAAGUGGAAUAACAGCCACGAGUAUUGUCCAUCAUAAGCUUGAUCGGUUUCAAUACGGCGUCAUGCGGGAGGAAGCGCUGACAGAGAUAAAUCUUCACUAAAUUAUUUGAGGUUUAAGAAUGAAGUUGGGAACCUGUUGCACCAGAAAAUGUUGGUUCCACUGCUGUCGUAACUGUUGUUGUUCCUGAGCGGUUUUGCGUCGUGGAAGAAAUCUUAUGAUGUUGCUGGCAAAUCGUGAGCUAAGUCCAAAUGAUACAAGACCCCACAUAGUUCAAGCAGGCCAUCAACCACAACUCUUUCUAAUAAAUACAAACACCUGUGUUGCAGUCCUGGAGAUAAGUCUGAGCAUGUUAGGCUGAGUAUAAAGGAUGUUCAAAAAACAGAAUAAAAGGUUUGAAGGAUAAGAUUGGAAACUGGAUUCAUUUCAUAAAGAUCCUACCAAAUUGCUGAUUAUGNNN
This 642-nucleotide long non-coding RNA is filed under the name Lathyrus oleraceus (garden pea). Its description in RNAcentral is "Pisum sativum (pea) long non-coding RNA (PSAT_LNC029496)". Lineage: Eukaryota; Viridiplantae; Streptophyta; Magnoliopsida; Fabales; Fabaceae. The record is from RNAcentral.